This 356-nucleotide transfer-messenger RNA is filed under the name Rhodospirillaceae bacterium. It matches the Rfam family "Alphaproteobacteria transfer-messenger RNA". From Rfam's summary of the family: Bacterial tmRNA, also known as 10Sa RNA or SsrA, is named for its dual tRNA and mRNA-like properties. Its role is to liberate the mRNA from a stalled ribosome. To accomplish this part of the tmRNA is used as a reading frame that ends in a translation stop signal. The record is from RNAcentral. Lineage: Bacteria; Pseudomonadati; Pseudomonadota; Alphaproteobacteria; Rhodospirillales; Rhodospirillaceae.
CCCCUUUCUCUCUCGGGCCCGAGUGUUUAUAUUCAAAGUGUCGGGCAACCGACUAUGGCGAUAAACGGUGCGUGGAAUAAUCGUAGCGGACCCGGGGGCGGUACCCGGCGCCUCCACCAAAUCUCCCAAGUCUUUCAAGGGAGUAUUGAGGGGGCGAAACAGGAUCGACGCGCGUGGUAAAGACGUUCUUUUCGCUCGGCAUGGUACCGCCGAUAUCGGGCCAAGCAAUAGUUGCCAACGACAACUUUGCGGAGGCACGCCUCGCUGCGUAAGCAGCUGGUAGCCUGAACUAAGUCCAGACGAGUCGCAUCGGCUGGCGGGGUUUGGGGCGCACCUGGCAACAGAAGCGUCCCGCU